RNAcentral lists this microRNA precursor (78 nucleotides) under Schistosoma haematobium. RNAcentral's name for it is "mir-3492 microRNA precursor family". It matches the Rfam family "mir-3492 microRNA precursor family". The record is from Rfam by way of RNAcentral. Lineage: Eukaryota; Metazoa; Platyhelminthes; Trematoda; Strigeidida; Schistosomatidae.
AUCUUCCUGAUUUUGUGCAGAGAUUUAGUCACAUACUAACACAUUAGGACUGAUUAGACUCCGAAGAUAAGUGAAGUU